GAUGAACGCUAGCGGCAGGCCUAAUACAUGCAAGUCGAACGAUAGUCUUGUCUUCGGAUGAGAUGAGAGUGGCGCACGGGUGAGUAACGCGUACACGACCUACCUUACAGAGGGGGAUAGCCUUGGGAAACUGGGAGUAAUCCGCCAUAGUGUAUAUGAUCUGCAUGGAUGGUAUACUAAAGCUUCGGCGCUGUAAGAUGGGUGUGCGUCUGAUUAGGUAGUUGGUAGGGUAACGGCCUACCAAGCCAACGAUCAGUAGCCGGCCUGAGAGGGUGGCCGGCCACACUGGGACUGAGACACGGCCCAGACUCCUACGGGAGGCAGCAGUGGGGAAUAUUGCGCAAUGGGCGAAAGCCUGACGCAGCAACGCCGCGUGAGUGAAGAAGGCCU
Molecule: ribosomal RNA, 390 nt
Filed under: uncultured bacterium
Lineage: Bacteria
Description: bacterial SSU rRNA
Rfam family: Bacterial small subunit ribosomal RNA
Source: RNAcentral